CCCUUAGAUGUUCUGGGCCGCACACGCGCUACACUGAAGGAGGCAGCGUGUACUCCUGGAUCGAAAGAUUUGGGUAACCCGCGAAUCUCCUUCGUGCUAGGGAUUGAGGUUUGCAAUUAUCCUUCAUGAACGAGGAAUUCCCAGUAAGUGCAAGUCAUAAGCUUGCGCUGACUACGUCCCUGCCCUUUGUACACACCGCCCGUCGCUACUACCGAUUGAAUGAUUUAGUGAGGACUUCGGACUGGGACCGAUGCGGCUUUCGGGCUGCGUCGGUAUACUGGAAAGAUGUCCAAACUGUAUCAUUUAGAGGAAGUAAAAGUCGUAACA
RNAcentral lists this ribosomal RNA (327 nucleotides) under uncultured eukaryote. RNAcentral's name for it is "partial 18S ribosomal RNA". It matches the Rfam family "Eukaryotic small subunit ribosomal RNA", at positions 1470 to 1796 of the family's 1831-position model. The record is from RNAcentral.